UACGGAGGGUGCAAGCGUUAUCCGGAUUUAUUGGGUUUAAAGGGUCCGUAGGCGGGCCGAUAAGUCAGAGGUGAAAUCCUACAGCUUAACUGUAGAACUGCCUUUGAUACUGUUGGCCUUGAAUUUUUGUGAAGUUGCUGGAAUAAGUAGUGUAGCGGUGAAAUGCAUAGAUAUUACUUAGAACACCAAUUGCGAAGGCAGGUAACUAACAAACGAUUGACGCUGAUGGACGAAAGCGUGGGGAGCGAACAGG
This 253-nucleotide ribosomal RNA is filed under the name uncultured bacterium. Its description in RNAcentral is "partial 16S ribosomal RNA". It matches the Rfam family "Bacterial small subunit ribosomal RNA", at positions 524 to 776 of the family's 1533-position model. The record is from RNAcentral.